RNAcentral lists this ribosomal RNA (468 nucleotides) under uncultured bacterium. RNAcentral's name for it is "partial 16S ribosomal RNA". It matches the Rfam family "Bacterial small subunit ribosomal RNA", at positions 28 to 507 of the family's 1533-position model. The record is from RNAcentral.
GACGAACGCUGGCGGCGUGCUUAACACAUGCAAGUCGAACGGAAAGGCCCUGCUUUUGUGGGGUGCUCGAGUGGCGAACGGGUGAGUAACACGUGAGUAACCUGCCCUUGACUUUGGGAUAACUCCAGGAAACUGGGGCUAAUACCGGAUAGGAGCUCCUGCUGCAUGGUGGGGGUUGGAAAGUUUCGGCGGUUGGGGAUGGACUCGCGGCUUAUCAGCUUGUUGGUGGGGUAGUGGCUUACCAAGGGUUUGACGGGUAGCCGGCCUGAGAGGGUGACCGGCCACAUUGGGACUGAGAUACGGCCCAGAAUCCUACGGGAGGCAGCAGUGGGGAAUAUUGCACAAUGGGCGGAAGCCUGAUGCAGCAACGCCGCGUGCGGGAUGACGGCCUUCGGGUUGUAAACCGCUUUCGCCUGUGACGAAGCGUGAGUGACGGUAAUGGGUAAAGAAGCACCGGCUAACUACGUG